UGGGGAAUAUUGCACAAUGGGGGAAACCCUGAUGCAGCAACGCCGCGUGAAGGAUGAAGGUUUUCGGAUUGUAAACUUCUUUUAUUCGGGACGAAGAAAGUGACGGUACCGAAUGAAUAAGCCACGGCUAACUACGUGCCAGCAGCCGCGGUAAUACGUAGGUGGCGAGCGUUAUCCGGAUUUACUGGGUGUAAAGGGCGAGUAGGCGGGAUUGCAAGUCAGAUGUGAAAACUAUGGGCUCAACCCAUAGACUGCAUUUGAAACUGUAGUUCUUGAGUGAUGGAGAGGCAGGCGGAAUUCCCGGUGUAGCGGUGGAAUGCGUAGAUAUCGGGAGGAACACCAGUGGCGAAGGCGGCCUGCUGGACAUUAACUGACGCUGAGGCGCGAAAGCGUGGGGAGCAAACAGGAUUAGAUACCC
RNAcentral lists this ribosomal RNA (418 nucleotides) under uncultured bacterium. Its description in RNAcentral is "bacterial SSU rRNA". It matches the Rfam family "Bacterial small subunit ribosomal RNA", at positions 355 to 787 of the family's 1533-position model. The record is from RNAcentral.